CUAAGAAGCAGUCAGUGGGCUGAACCAGCUGUGACAGAAUGGCCUUUUUACUAACAGCAGUCUUGGUUUUCCAGACUUUACUGGACAAUUACACAGAUGACUAUCCUCCAGAAAACGCCACAGAUUUUUAUUAUCCAGAAUACGUCACAAGUUAUUAUCGUGAAUUUGAAACUUUGUUUGAAAAGAAUUUGACAGAGUCUGCAGGAUCAUCACUCCACGGCCAUCUUCCCUUCUUCUUUGUCCUUCUCCAUCUUCUAUGUUUUUUGCUACAACAAUUCACACUUCUUUUGUAGAAGAUGUGAACAGCUUUGCUUUGAAUUAGAACAUUCCUCAAGGAGGAAAACAAAGAACUCUGUCACACAUGUAAAUUACUUCCCCUACAAUGAAUCAGUCAUCUUUUUUUAGUGCAGUUUAUGUAUUUAUGUAGAAACACAAACAAAUAUAACAGCUAUGUUUCCUCAUAGGUAGUAUAAAUUGCAUGAAUGUUGACUAGCUGUUUGUAUCUUCUGUAUUUCUUCCUCUCACAUUUCCUCACUAUCAUUCACUGGGUCCUAUUGUAAAUAAGAAAUAUGUGCCAACAAAAUGAAGCACUGGCUGAUCACUCCAGAUCUUUUAGUGCUAUCUGAUGUUCUGACAUCACUGGAUCAGCUGCUGCUGUCUCCCUGGAAUGCA
RNAcentral lists this long non-coding RNA (672 nucleotides) under Gopherus agassizii (Agassiz's desert tortoise). RNAcentral describes it as "lncRNA (ENSGAGG00000025089.1)". Lineage: Eukaryota; Metazoa; Chordata; Testudines; Testudinidae. The record is from RNAcentral.